UGCCUCAGUAACGGCGAGUGAAGCGGCAACAGCUCAAAUUUGAAAUCUGGCCUCACGGUCCGAAUUGUAAUUUGUAGAGGAUGUUUCGAACGUGGUCCGGUCUAAGUUCCUUGGAACAGGACGUCAUAGAGGGUGAGAAUCCCGUAUGCGACUGGGUGCCUAAGUUCAUGUGAAACUCCUUCGACGAGUCGAGUUGUUUGGGAAUGCAGCUCAAAAUGGGUGGUAAAUUUCAUCUAAAGCUAAAUACUGGCCAGAGACCGAUAGCGCACAAGUAGAGUGAUCGAAAGAUGAAAAGCACUUUGGAAAGAGAGUUAAACAGUACGUGAAAUUGUUGAAAGGGAAGCGCUUGCAAUCAGACUUGCAUGCAGUUGAUCAUCCGGUGUUCUCACCGGUGCACUCAGCUGCAUUCAGGCCAGCAUCAGUUUCGGUGGUUGGAUAAAGGCUCUGGGAACGUAGCUUCUUUCGGGGAGUGUUAUAGCCCAGGGUGCAAUGCAGCCUACCGGGACUGAGGACCGCGCUUCGGCUAGGAUGCUGGCGUAAUGGUUGUAAGCGACCCGUCUUGAAACACGGACCAAGGAGUCUAACAUUUAUGCGAGUGUUUGGGUGUCAAACCCAUACGCGUAAUGAAAGUGAACGGAGGUGAGAACCCUUAAGGGUGCAUCAUCGACCGAUCCUGAUGUCUUCGGAUGGAUUUGAGUAAGAGCAUAACUGUUGGGACCCGAAAGAUGGUGAACUAUGCGUGGAUAGGGUGAAGCCAGAGGAAACUCUGGUGGAGGCUCGCAGCGGUUCUGACGUGCAAAUCGAUCGUCAAAUCUGCGUAUAGGGGCGAAAGACUAAUCGAACCAUCUGAACCUACUGCUGGAUGGAACAUCUAGGUGCUAGAAGUACCUACGUAGUCUCUGCGGAGGCAACAUUACCACUGUGCAGGCGUGCCAUCUGGCUACCUGCAGCGGGGCAACCCGUCCACAGACUAAACGGUGAUGGCCCUAUCUCUAGGGUUCUGAUAUAGCCGAUUCCUGCCUCUAGCCGGGCAGGGUCAA
Molecule: ribosomal RNA, 1040 nt
Filed under: Leotiomycetes sp.
Lineage: Eukaryota; Fungi; Ascomycota; Leotiomycetes
Description: partial large subunit ribosomal RNA
Rfam family: Eukaryotic large subunit ribosomal RNA
Source: RNAcentral